This 460-nucleotide ribosomal RNA is filed under the name uncultured bacterium. Its description in RNAcentral is "partial 16S ribosomal RNA". It matches the Rfam family "Bacterial small subunit ribosomal RNA", at positions 338 to 795 of the family's 1533-position model. The record is from RNAcentral.
CCUACGGGAGGCAGCAGUGAGGAAUAUUGGUCAAUGGACGAAAGCCUGAACCAGCCAUGUCGCGUGCAGGAAGACGGCUCUAUGAGUUGUAAACUGCUUUUGUACAAGGGUAAAGCUCGAUACGUGUAUCUAGCUGUAAGUACUGUAAGAAUAAGGAUCGGCUAACUCCGUGCCAGCAGCCGCGGUAAUACGGAGGAUCCGAGCGUUAUCCGGAUUUAUUGGGUUUAAAGGGUGCGUAGGGGGGUUGUUAAGUUAGAUGUGAAAUGUUCGGGCUCAACCCGGGAACUGCAUUUGAUACUGGUAGUCUUGAGUGUAGGAGAGGUAGGCGGAAUGUGUGGUGUAGCGGUGAAAUGCUUAGAGAUCAUGCAGAACUCCGAUUGCGAAGGCAGCUUACUAAUCUGCAACUGACGUUGAGGCACGAAAGCGUGGGGAGCAAACAGGAUUAGAUACCCCAGUAGUC